ACAAAUGACAACAACAGUCCAGUGUAGAGCCAGACUGGGGAACAGUGUAGCGUUGGUCUGGGUUUCGGGAUCCUGCUUUCAGGAUUUUCUGGUUCAUUCCCAAGGAAAUUAUUCAUCUUUUCUGUACUCCACUACCUUACAACUCAACGGAGAUUCCCAAUGUGUUUUGUGUUUUAAAGGGAUUCCUGGAUUUAACUCAACAUCUGCUGCCUUCUGUAUAGAACUAGAAAAACGCCCUGGAAAUGGAAAUGGAAAUGGCACAGGGAGAAGCGGCGGCGGCCGUGCGGGAACCAGGAGCGGCGCAGGGGAGGGAUGAGCCAGGUCUGGAUAGUUAGGCUCUCCACAAAGACAGGAAUUGUUUUCUUAUAUAAUAUUAUGGCUGCUGUCAUAUGAAAUGGAUAGAAGGCAUGUCAACCAAGGUAUAACCCACCUUUUGCAACUCUGCACGGCCUAGCACUACCGGACGGAGCAAUACUGAGAAUAUUCCUGGUCUUUUUGGCUCAAACAUUCUGUGUCGAUCAAUUUCUUAAUAUGUAUUUAUUCCGCAUCCAGUAAAUGAUAAAAUUCUGAUGGUCUGUUUCUGCCACUAGGGGGAGCUUAGGAGCUAAAUGCUUUACUCUGCUUUUUUCAGUUAUUUAUUUAUUUUAUGCACUUAUAUAGCGCUACUAUAUU
This is a long non-coding RNA of Bufo bufo (common toad), 672 nucleotides long. RefSeq lists it as uncharacterized. The record is from RefSeq and is a predicted model, not a curated record. The transcript is spliced from 3 exons. Lineage: Eukaryota; Metazoa; Chordata; Amphibia; Anura; Bufonidae.